AUGGCAACCUCUCUAAAGAUCUGGAGCCUGCUCUUGGCCCUGCUUUGAUCCUAUGCAGGCUGCUUGUACACAGGAAGAACAUCUACUGGUGGGAACUCAUAAAACAUCACUACCCACGUUCAAGAGUACAGAUGUGAUGUCCUCAUGAGAGAAAAAGAAGUGCUCUAAAAGAUAAGAGCUCUCACAUGUUCAUCUAAAUCUCAGGUUACCAAAUUGAGCAUACACAUGCUAAUGACAACUGGGAUGACUGCUAUAGACAUGCAUAUGUACGGACCCAGAAUGCACCCAAUGUACUCAAGUGUCACUGGGAGAAUUCCAAAAAUAGCUACACAGAGAGCAGGAGCUUCAGCUACAUUGAAUUCCACCACAGCAUGGAUGAGUAUGUUGAUGGCAUAGAGGACCUGAAGAUAAAGCCUAUCAGCAAC
Molecule: long non-coding RNA, 425 nt
Filed under: Homo sapiens (human)
Lineage: Eukaryota; Metazoa; Chordata; Mammalia; Primates; Hominidae
Description: non-protein coding lnc-TMEM163-3:1
Source: RNAcentral